Molecule: ribosomal RNA, 250 nt
Filed under: uncultured prokaryote
Description: partial 16S rRNA
Rfam family: Bacterial small subunit ribosomal RNA
Source: RNAcentral
ACGUAGGGGGCAAGCGUUAUCCGGAAUUAUUGGGCGUAAAGAGUGCGUAGGUGGUUUUUUAAGCAUGAGGUGAAAGGCAAUAGCUUAACUAUUGUAAGCCUUGCGAACUGGAAGACUUGAGUGCAGGAGAGGAAAGUGGAAUUCCCCGUGUAGCGGUGAAAUGCGUAGAUAUGGGGAGGAACACCAGUGGCGAAGGCGGCUUUCUGGACGGUGUCUGACACUGAGGCGCGAAAGCCAGGGGAGCGAACGG